This 210-nucleotide ribosomal RNA is filed under the name uncultured Staphylococcus sp. RNAcentral's name for it is "partial 16S ribosomal RNA". It matches the Rfam family "Bacterial small subunit ribosomal RNA", at positions 150 to 355 of the family's 1533-position model. Lineage: Bacteria; Bacillati; Bacillota; Bacilli; Caryophanales; Staphylococcaceae. The record is from RNAcentral.
CGGGAAACCGGAGCUAAUACGAUAAUAUUUCGAACCGCAUGGUUCGAUAGUGAAAGAUUGUUUUGCUAUCACUUAUAGAUGGACCCGCGCCGUAUUAGCUAGUUGGUAAGGUAACGGCUUACCAAGGCGACGAUACGUAGCCGACCUGAGAGGGUGAUCGGCCACACUGGAACUGAGACACGGUCCAGACUCCUACGGGAGGCAGCAGCC